GGCUCAGAUUGAACGCUGGCGGCAGGCCUAACACAUGCAAGUCGAGCGGUAGAGAGAAGCUUGCUUCUCUUGAGAGCGGCGGACGGGUGAGUAAUGCCUAGGAAUCUGCCUGGUAGUGGGGGAUAACGUUCGGAAACGGACGCUAAUACCGCAUACGUCCUACGGGAGAAAGCAGGGGACCUUCGGGCCUUGCGCUAUCAGAUGAGCCUAGGUCGGAUUAGCUAGUUGGUGGGGUAAUGGCUCACCAAGGCGACGAUCCGUAACUGGUCUGAGAGGAUGAUCAGUCACACUGGAACUGAGACACGGUCCAGACUCCUACGGGAGGCAGCAGUGGGGAAUAUUGGACAAUGGGCGAAAGCCUGAUCCAGCCAUGCCGCGUGUGUGAAGAAGGUCUUCGGAUUGUAAAGCACUUUAAGUUGGGAGGAAGGGUUGUAGAUUAAUACUCUGCAAUUUUGACGUUACCGACAGAAUAAGCACCGGCUAACUCUGUGCCAGCAG
Molecule: ribosomal RNA, 498 nt
Filed under: Pseudomonas synxantha
Lineage: Bacteria; Pseudomonadati; Pseudomonadota; Gammaproteobacteria; Pseudomonadales; Pseudomonadaceae
Description: bacterial SSU rRNA
Rfam family: Bacterial small subunit ribosomal RNA
Source: RNAcentral